AAUCAACGCUGGCGGCGCGCCUAACACAUGCAAGUCGCACGAGAAAGCGGGGCAACCCGCAAGUACAGUGGCGUACGGGUGAGUAACACGUGGAUGAUCUACCUUCUAGUGGGGAAUAAUCCUGGGAAAUCGGGGCUAAUACCGCAUAAGCUCGAGAGAGGAAAGCAGCAAUGCGCUGGAAGAGGAGUCCGCGGCCGAUUAGCUAGUUGGGAGGGUAAAAGCCUACCAAGGCAAAGAUCGGUAGCCGGCCUGAGAGGGCACACGGCCACACUGGCACUGAAACACGGGCCAGACUCCUACGGGAGGCAGCAGUGGGGAAUCUUGCACAAUGGGGGAAACCCUGAUGCAGCGACGCCGCGUGAGCGAUGAAGCCCUUCGGGGUGUAAAGCUCUUUCGUCAGGGAAGAUGAUGACGGUACCUGGAGAAGCAGCUGCGGCUAACUACGAGCCAGCAGCCGCGGUAAUACGUAGGCAGCAAGCGUUGUUC
This 486-nucleotide ribosomal RNA is filed under the name uncultured bacterium. RNAcentral describes it as "bacterial SSU rRNA". It matches the Rfam family "Bacterial small subunit ribosomal RNA", at positions 28 to 546 of the family's 1533-position model. The record is from RNAcentral.